CGUAGGGGCCAAGCGUUGUUCGGAUUUACUGGGCGUAAAGGGCGCGUAGGCGGCGCAACAAGUCACUUGUGAAAUCUCCGGGCUUAACCCGGAGCGGCCAAGUGAUACUGUCGUGCUAGAGUGCGGAAGGGGCUACUGGAAUUCUCGGUGUAGCGGUGAAAUGCGUAGAUAUCGAGAGGAACACCUGCGGCGAAGGCGGGUAGCUGGGCCGACACUGACGCUGAGGCGCGAAAGCCAGGGGAGCGAACGGGAUUAGAUACCCCGGUAGUCCUGGCCUUAAACGAUGGAUGCUUGGUGUCCGGGGUUACAUAGUCCCCGGGUGCCGGCGCUAACGCAUUAAGCAUCCCGCCUGGGGAGUACGGUCGCAAGACUG
RNAcentral lists this ribosomal RNA (373 nucleotides) under uncultured organism. RNAcentral describes it as "bacterial SSU rRNA". It matches the Rfam family "Bacterial small subunit ribosomal RNA", at positions 526 to 896 of the family's 1533-position model. The record is from RNAcentral.